CGCUAGCUUAAGCUAAUUUAGCUACGGCAAAAGACAGGCUAAUGUCCACUUAACGCCAGAUGUAAUCCAUGAACUCAAUCAAGACAAGACAGUUGGCAACUGCGACACGAGAUCAGGACAACCGUGCCGUGGAUCCGUGAACAGUACAACGUUUGCAGCUAGCGGUAGCCUUCCGUGGGGUUGCCAGUUGUGUCUCCGUCAGGUAAAGAAGAUAUAAGUACAUCUCCCAUUGCUGGUCUAUCACAGAACACAGAGGGGGCCAUGAUGACCCCAUCCCAGAGGAGCCUGCUGUUUUGCCUGCAAGAUGGACUGACUGCAGCCAGAAACCAAGAGGAGACAGGCCCUUUUCUGCUCUCUUAUGUUGGUUCAAUCACCAGUCUACUGUACAAAGGAGGCAGCCUGAUGGCAUGACGAGUGCACAUCGCUCAUCUGCCUGUGCUGUUGUCUCGGUUUGAGCCUCAUAAAAGGAAGCGGGCCUGACGAUGCCAGAGGCGGGGGAUCCAGCUCUGAGGUCUGAGCGGAGAAACAUCAGCAGAGCGCCAUCCUUUAGAAGGAGAUGUCCUUCAUAGUGGUGCCAACUCUCCCUGGGGCAGCAGCGUUAAGACACAGCCUCUUAUUUACCAUAUACAGGAUCUCUCCGUGCCCUUAAUGAGCCAGGAUAUUCAGCAUCACAGAGACAAAGGCCACGCUUUCACUGAAGAAGCUGUGGUUUUGCUGAAUUAAAUAAUGAUAAUUAAGAAAAUAUUAAUCAAACCCUGGCUCUCCCGGCUGUGUGGAUGUGUUGAGGGAGCAGGUCUUCCAGCUGAGCCUGUAGGAGUUCUCAUUUAGAGUAUGCCUGCGACCUAUAGAGCUGCAGGCAAACACACACUCACAAACACACACAGAUGCACACAAUUAAGAGCAGACCAUGGUGGCCUACUGCUCUAUAAUUAAACGCCCUUUGGUGCAUGGCACAAAAAUACUGAGCCAGGUUCAGAUGUGUCAAGGAGAGAGAGAUGAGAAGGAACGUUAAGAAGCUGUCAUUUCUCUAAGUUGUGACUUCUGUUUGGUGCGAUGAAUUAAUAAAAAGCACAAACUAA
Lates calcarifer (barramundi perch) is the source of this 1079-nucleotide long non-coding RNA. RefSeq lists it as uncharacterized. NCBI's taxonomy places the organism in Eukaryota, Metazoa, Chordata, Actinopteri, Centropomidae. The transcript is spliced from 5 exons. The record is from RefSeq and is a predicted model, not a curated record.